Molecule: ribosomal RNA, 433 nt
Filed under: uncultured Lachnospiraceae bacterium
Lineage: Bacteria; Bacillati; Bacillota; Clostridia; Lachnospirales; Lachnospiraceae
Description: bacterial SSU rRNA
Rfam family: Bacterial small subunit ribosomal RNA
Source: RNAcentral
ACGGGAGGCAGCAGUGGGGAAUAUUGCACAAUGGGCGAAAGCCUGAUGCAGCGACGCCGCGUGAGUGAAGAAGUAUUUCGGUAUGUAAAGCUCUAUCAGCAGGGAAGAAAAUGACGGUACCUGACUAAGAAGCUCCGGCUAAAUACGUGCCAGCAGCCGCGGUAAUACGUAUGGAGCAAGCGUUAUCCGGAUUUACUGGGUGUAAAGGGAGCGUAGACGGUGUGGUAAGUCUGAAGUGAAAGCUCGAGGCUCAACUUCGGAAUUGCUUUGGAAACUAUCAUACUAGAGUGCAGGAGAGGCAAGUGGAAUUCCUAGUGUAGCGGUGAAAUGCGUAGAUAUUAGGAGGAACACAGUGGCGAAGGCGGCUUGCUGGACUGUAACUGACGUUGAGGCUCGAAAGCGUGGGGAGCAAACAGGAUUAGAUACCCUGGUA